CUACGGGGGGCACCAGUGGGGAAUAUUGCACAAUGGGCGCAAGCCUGAUGCAGCCAUGCCGCGUGUAUGAAGAAGGCCUUCGGGUUGUAAAGUACUUUCAGCGGGGAGGAAGGGAGUAAAGUUAAUACCUUUGCUCAUUGACGUUACCCGCAGAAGAAGCACCGGCUAACUCCGUGCCAGCAGCCGCGGUAAUACGGAGGGUGCAAGCGUUAAUCGGAAUUACUGGGCGUAAAGCGCACGCAGGCGGUUUGUUAAGUCAGAUGUGAAAUCCCCGGGCUCAACCUGGGAACUGCAUCUGAUACUGGCAAGCUUGAGUCUCGUAGAGGGGGGUAGAAGUCCAGGUGUAGCGGUGAAAUGCGUAGAGAUCUGGAGGAAUACCGGUGGCGAAGGCGGCCCCCUGGACGAAGACUGACGCUCAGGUGCGAAAGCGUGGGGAGCAAACAGGAUUAGAUACCCUUGUAGUC
RNAcentral lists this ribosomal RNA (464 nucleotides) under uncultured bacterium. RNAcentral describes it as "partial 16S ribosomal RNA". It matches the Rfam family "Bacterial small subunit ribosomal RNA", at positions 339 to 795 of the family's 1533-position model. The record is from RNAcentral.